RNAcentral lists this long non-coding RNA (34152 nucleotides) under Brachypodium distachyon (stiff brome). Its description in RNAcentral is "long non-coding RNA (BDIS_LNC001121)". The stretch from base 24723 to 24858 matches the Rfam family "MIR1120/MIR1122 microRNA precursor family". The record is from RNAcentral. Lineage: Eukaryota; Viridiplantae; Streptophyta; Magnoliopsida; Poales; Poaceae.
GCGGCGCGUUCUUGGCGAUGCCCUCGGCUUUCACGGUGAAGGAGGUGGGUUCCAGGCAGAACUUCUUCAUCUCGUACUUGCCGGCCUUGAAGGGGAAGGCGUCGACCCCGCCGUCGAUGGUCGGGCACUGGUUGGCUGUCCCCGUCCCCUUGACCUCCAUGUACGUCUUGCUCUGGAUCUCGUCGAAGGUCAGCCGCUUCGGCGCCCCCUCCGCGCUCGCGCCCUGCUCGACAGAAUGCCCACCCUCCGUUAGUUUCUAGCGACCGGAGGCGUAGAAGAUGAAGUGAUGGAAACAUCCAUGGGCAGUUAGAUUUACCGAGACGAGGAGGGCGGAGGUGGCGAGGGCGAAGCCGGCGAGCUUGGCGGCGUCGGCGCACUUGGUGGCGACCUCGCGGAGGUCGGAGGUGAGGGAGCAGGAGAUGGUCCGGGCGGCGUGCGAGGAAGGGCGCGCGGAGGAAGGGAGCAGCACGGCGGAGGAGGAGGAGGCGGAGCGGCCCAUCUUGGCCGGCUGCAUCAGGGUGGCGGCGGCCUGGAGAGACGCUGCCAUGGCUGCUGCUUGGUAGGGGGGGAUCGGUGGAGCUCGUGGUUGAGAGGCGUGUUGUCAGGGCGGGUCAAGUGUUAUCUAUGCGCGGGCAAGGAUCGGGGGCGCGGAUAAGAGGCGGCUUCCCAUUGGUGGCUGCUGGAUAAGAAUAUCAUCCGUUUAUUUCCGUGGCCACCAGCCAGUCAUUUCUUCUCCUCUUUGCCCAUCCAGAGUCCGGACUAGCCACAGCCACAGGCUCCUGGGCAAAGCCAGGCCCAGGGCGCGCCCAGCGCGCGCACCGGCACGCCCCGUCGCCAUCUCCUCUUGCCCAUCCCGGCAUCAACAGAAUAAGUUAUUUCCACGGUUUCUCAAUCUCGCCGCCGAAUGUCAUGAACGUACGCGGGGAAGCGCAAUGUGUAGAGACCACCGCAGCCGCCAUGAACGGCACCCACCGCGAUCGACCACUGCUCGCGAACAAAUUAAAUCUCGUACCUUGUCAACCAACCAAACAUAAUGAUCCCGCACAUUGCUCGAUAAAACUCGAACAUGCUCCAUUAAACACUCGGACCACAAUAUUCCGCUGUCUUAAAGCCGCCGUCGCCGGAACAGUACGGCUGGCGAUCGAACUCGCCGCCGUCCGCUACACUACACGCAAAAACAGAGCAAACACGGAAGCGCUCUUCUCGAAAAAAAAAAAAAAGAAGAAGAAGAAGAAGAAAAGAACGGAAGCGCUCUGUUCUGAUUCUUGGCCGGGCCACAUCGUGGCUCUCGAGCCCUUCCAAAUGGCCUCACCUCCCGAUGAAGCCCGUAGUGUCAGACCUUUUUUUUUUUCCUUUUUUUUUUAAAUAGAUAUCUGUACCUAAUAAUAAAAGCAGCAGUGUUUUCGUGGCUGGGUUUCGUCCGUCGGACCGGUUUUGCGUUUUAGCCCUUCUUUUUUUCAAGAAUCAACGCGCACUCCGGACAAAACUGGGUUUCCUGCAAAAAACUGGGCUUUUCCGCAAUUUGCCCUCUCUCCUGCUACGGGCUCGAACUGCGCCGCCACCUCCGCGCGCGUCUGGCCUCCAUGGACCGCCGCGCACGCCGUCGCGGGGCUCCGUAACCGCUUCCAAGUACUCACGGCGGGCUUCCAGACCAUCUGCCGACCGCCGCGCCGACGCGGCCCGCGGCUACCUCGUCGUGGCUGGCAAGGCCCCCACCGAGGACCAGCUGGACCGACUCCUUGACGCCGGCAGCAGAACCACCGAGGACCAGCACAGUCUCCGUAGAACGAGGCGCAGCCCCUGCCGCAGAUGUGGACAGCAGCAGGCGACCAGUAGGCUUGCCCAUCGGCCGCAUCUCCAUACGCAUCUCCUUGCCGUCACAGCAUCUCAUAUUCCCAUCCCCUCUCCCAAAUCCUCCUGCCGUCGCCUGGACUCCCUUUGCCCACCACUGAAGUUUGACUAACUUCUCCCUCUCCCUUUCCCACCACCACCAACGACCAACCAGCUACCUGUCCUACCCCCUCGCGGCCACUGUUGUCGUCCCGCCGCCACUCGCCGUGGCGGCAACCUAGCCAGCCAACAGCAGAAUCGUUCGGCGUUCCGCGGGCGCGGCCGGUGCUCCCCCCGCCCUUACCCUUACUCAUCUGUUUCGAAUUGAGCAUUGGAAUUUUUCCUGUUCAUGAGAAUGUUCACAUGGCACUUUAAUGCCAGAAAUAUAGAGUUUAAAGUUGAUGUCUAAGAGGAUAAGAGGAAUGAUCUUGAUCUGAAUUUCAACCUUGGUACAACCUUCAGUCUGAAUACUCCCAUUGUUUCUUAAGCACUGUAAAUAAACUAACCUUGCUAUUGCUAUCCUAAUGCUGACAUGUGAUUUAUUUCCAUUUGCAGCUUUCGUGCUUAAAUCAAUUGUCACAUUGUUGGAGUUCAGAUAUAUGUCAUAGAAUAAGAGAUGUUCACUUUGGCUGUUCAAAAAUGAUGCCAUAUGUUUGUUAGAUUCAGAGUCAAACAAAUCAAGUUCAUGAGUCAUUUUGUAAUUCACCCUGAACUAUGUCUGAUGCAUUCAGUGCAAUUUUGCCCAACAUCUUAUUUACUCCUGAGCUGAAAUCACUAGACCUCAGGACAUGACGAAACAAGAUGCCAACAGGAUUAAUUCCUGCAACAAGCAAAGUUAUCCUAAUAGCAUCAACUAUUAUGGAAUUAAAUGAAAGUAAAAGGAAUUUGAAUAUACUCUUCUUUUUCUUGGUAGAUUUCUUUGCUGGAUGCAAGCUAACAAAAUUUAGCAAACCUUUAUUGUUUUUUCAGGCUUGCUCACUAAACCUCACAUUUCUUGCCACUUGCAUAUAUAGUAUGGUGCAACAAUGGUAAUCCUAUGCGGAUCUUUUGUUACAUUCAUGUGGGUUUAGGGAUUUGUCAGUAAAUUAGGAAUUACCAUAGAAAUAUUAUUAAAUCGUUUAUGUGAAGAAUUUUCUUGCGGAGGAGUUCAACUACCAUAUUAGAUGUAUAGCGUGCUUUGUGUACUUGUCUUUAGGUUGAUUUCAUUACAGGAUUAUGAUAUUUUGAAUGUACAGUCCAGUUUCCAGAUUUUAAUCAUGGCGAAUUGCAUGGCCUUUCAGAUGCUAACGUUAUGAUACCCGCUGCAUAGCUUUUACUCCAUAUUUUUGUAAGUUGACAUUUUUGUCCAAUCUCAGUAAAUAUGCUCGGAUACCACAACAAUGCACGAUAUCCUUUUAUCUUAGUAACCCUGUUAGUGUGUUUAGUUCGGCGAGAUUUGGAUAUUCCAAAGUCCUCUGGAAAACAUGCUCUUAAAAUUUUAUGGUAGCAUCUCUGAACAUGUUUGUGGAAGUUAUUUGUUAUUCCAGUCUGAAUUGGAUGAGCAAAGUAUUUGUUUUGGACUAGAGUGCAUAUGGGUUAUUUCAAUUGUAGUAUUUUUGUGUUUUGUUCAUGUGUUCAAGUGCUAGGUCAAUAUAAUACAGUUUGUGCAGCACACAAACCACACUUGACUGUACAUUUAGGAAGUAAUGGCACUUUGAUUAAUACACAUUGUUCCAUUCAUUUCGACUGAAUGUCAAAUUAUGACGUCUUUUUCGGUAAACGUAAAUUCUGUGUGCAUAUGUUUAAAAGACCGUGGCAACGCACGGGCACUGUACUAGUGGAGUAAUAAUGUUCAUUACAGUGCAGAAAAACAUCUAUCAGAGACACAACGAUAACAUAAUAAUUUAUUACAGUGCAGAAAAACAUAUACAUGCAAAGAUAAUAUAACUAGAUAGAUAAAAGCAGUCGGUAAACCAGGCGGCGCCUCCAAUCCAUCAUGGUGCGGUAACCCAUUUAUGCACCAUAACGGAGUUUUUUCUUCACCUUUCAUGGGGGCAUCUCCUUAGGGCAUCUCCAAGGGCGAGCUCCCAUUUGUCCUCCCCAUUUGUCCAUUUGAGGGGCCUUUGGACAAAUGGAGGUGAGAAAAAUAUCAAGUUGUCCAAUGGCAACCCCUCAUUUAUCUCUCCAUGAGUCUCUGAAAUGUGAUCCAAGAAGAUAAGUGGACAAUAUUUAGAUGAGUUUUGCACAAAUGGGGACUCCCCGUACUCUCCCCAAAUUUGGGGAAGAAAUGGGGAGUGUUGAUCGCUUUUGGAUAAAUGGGGGUUUCAUUGGGUUGUAUAUUUUGCUCAUGGACCCUCACAUGGACAGAUUUGGACAAAUGGGGAGUAUUUGGGGGUUUCCUUUGAAGAUAACCUUACAAACGAGAACAGCGAGUUAUGAUGUGGCACAUGAUGCUAUAAUAAGGAUCUGGAAUAUCUUUUUCUUCUGCGAUUAUUACUCCAUCCGUUGCUUGUGAUAAUGUGCCAUGCAUUACUGAGGUGGUAUUGACUAGAUAAAUUUUGGACUCGCGCAAGACAAUGGUGUCAGGCACAUUGGUAGGAAACAGCUUAGAGCUUACACAGAGUGACCUCCUAGUCCUACCAACGAAGAGUGCAUUGCCAUUUUACAAGGUCAAACCUCAAGCCCGAGCCCGGCCCGGCCCCGAAACCCCAAAAAUAUGUCAUUUAAGCAUUAAAAUAAUUAUUUUCGGAAUAAAUAAAUGUAUUUUUAUACUUAUUUUUCCUAAAAAAUACUCAACUUAAGCCAUUUCGGGCUUUCGGGCCCAGAAAAGUGAAGCCCAAGCCUGGCCCGGUACACCGGGCUUCGGGCCGGGCCACCCAUGCCCAGGUAUAAUUGCCAUCUAUGGAUGUCAGAGGGACGGUCCUUCUCAUCAUAAGAUCAGCUAGCCUGUAAACUGAAUAGCAAACUGCAUGACAUUUCGUGCCAGUCACCAAAAUCUAGCGGAUGUAGUCCCGGAAGUCGCCGGCUAGCACUCCCCAUCUGAUUAGGCUCACCAAAUCCUCGUGCAGAGACGCCCACGGGGAUGAAUCAUCGCCGGCAGUAACCUUCCACCGCCGGCGCAUACUAUUGCUGCAAGCAACCAAGGCCGCUGGGUGACCCCGAUAACUCCGUGAAGACAUGCCACUGGCAGAGGACCAGCGGCAGAUAUGCAAACUAGGGGUUCACAGCGGCGCCGUAACAGACGGGGGAGGAAACCCUAGGGCUAAGCCGCUGCCUUUUUUUGUUCCUUUCAAGCGCAAUUAGAAGAAUCUGUUCGUUGGCGGAAUUAGUAGUCCCGUACUUUUCCCUGUACAUUCAGAAAAAAAAAUCCUUAAGAAGAGACCUGAGUACCUGCAGUGCUCCCUCCGACAUAUAAUAAGUGCCGGUGAUUUAGUAUGUGAGAGGGAGUAUAUAACAUCCAUAGAAGCCUCGAACGAGCAUGAGAGGAAGAUGGGGGAGUGGCGCUCGGAGGCGCAGCUCCAGACGCUAGCUCCUCUCGCUCUCUGACAAGGAGGCCGAUUGAGCCGGCAAGCUCACCGGCAAACUAUGUCAUUUUAGUUUAAUUUUGGAACACUUUAUCAAUGAAAUUUGGCAAAAGUUCAAAUUUUUAAUGGGGUCGCCCCGCUGUGGUUACCAUGAUUUACAUGUUAUGUUCUUAGUCACACCUCCUGGCGAUGCAAACCAUGCUUUUUAGUUGUUACCAUGCUUGUUUCUUGCCCUUAUGGAAAAAUGUGAACCUGUAGGCUUUGCUGUGUGUAUGUGCUGCUAUGGCAUUGAAGCGGAGAGACGGCGGUUACUGCUCAGAGCUGUGUGGCUCAUUCGUAAUCCUGAGGCUUUACUCUUCGUGGGUUGCAAGAAGCUGCCGCCAGUGAUGAUCAUCCAGAGGACUGAGUCAAUUAUCGGUUAAAAUUGUUCAACCAGCCCAAAUGAAAGGUGAUGGCGGUCAUGCAUAGGUAAAUGAAUCUGCAAAGACAUUUUUCAGAUUAUCAAUCACUUUCCAGUGCGCAGUUUGGUUAUACUCUAUUGUGCAAAGAGGCAAAAUCAGUUCUUACUCAUGAAUCAUUCUUACACUGAAUGCAUUCUUAUAAUGCAGGGAAAGACCAAAUGGUACUAUACUAGCUUUGCUUGUGUUCUGUAGCAUGAAGGUUGAUUGCAAGGAAAAUGGGUCCAGCCAUCUACUAGGAAAACGAAGGUUCAAUCACCUGUGGUAAAUCCUUGCCAUCAAAUUUUCCUAUGAUGUGACGUUAAUGGUGUUACAAAUUGAUUCUGUCUAUAGCAAGGAUAAGGUGGCAUGUUUUCUUUGGAAACUGCUAUUGGAUAGGUGGGUACUGGGAAAGCUUGCUAGAUUUGAUCAAGCCAACUUCUUUAUUCUUGAAUUGCCAUCAUGUCCACUUGUAAGAAUUCCUAGGGAAAAUGCCAUAAAGGGGGUGGCUGGAGGGGGUUCAAAUUCCUUAGUAAAUAAGGAAAUUAAUAAGAAUAAAAAAAACUUGAAAUAUUCUCCCCAUAUAUAGGGAUCACCUUUUUAGCAGCCAUACCGUAGUUACCAUGAUUUGCAUAUUAUGUUCUCACACCUUCUGGCGAUGCAUACCAUGCUUGUUUCAUGCCCUUACGGAAAAUGUGAACUUGUAGGCUUUGCUGUGUGUGUGCUGCUAUGGCAUUUAAGAAGCGGAGAGACGGCGAUUACAUUUGCUCAGAGCUGUGUGGCUCAUUCGUAAUCCUGAGGCUGUACUCUUCGUGGGUUGCAAGAAGUUGCCGCCAAUGAUCCUCAAAAGGAUGGAGUCAAUUAUCAGUUAAAAUUGUUCAACCAGCCCAAAUGAAAGGUAGUCAUGCAUAGGUAAAUGAAUCUGCAAAGACAUUUUUCAGAUUAUGAAUCCACUUACCAGAGUGCAGUUUAAUCCUUAUUCAAUAACCAUUUUGUUAAUAUUAUACUCUAUUGUGCAAAGAGGCAAAAUCAGUUCUUACUCAAGAAUCAUUCUUAUAAUGCAGGAAAGACCAAUUGGUACUGGGCUUUGCUUUGUUUUGUAGCAUGAAGAUUGAUUGCAAGGAAAAUGGGUUCAGCCGUCUAAUAGGAAAACGAAUGUUCAAUCCUUUACCUGUGGUAAACCCUUGCCCAACAAAUAUGCCUAUGAUGUGACGUGAUCGGUGUUAAGAAUUGAUUCUGUCUAUAGCAAGACUGCAAGAAUUGCAAGAUGAGGUGGCAUGUUUUCUUUGGAAACUGCUAUUGGAUAUGUGGGUAGCUUGCUAGUUUUGAUCAAGCCAACUUCUUUAUUCUUGCUAGCCAACUUCUUUAGUCUUGCUAUUUUGAUCAGAAAAGGAAACUACCAUCAUAUCCACUUGCAACAAUUCCUUAAAGCAUAUCCGCUUGUGAGUUGUGUAUACAAAUGUUUUCAUCACAUAUUUAACUUUUUAAAGCAAACUUUUUUUUUGGCUAGCUAGUUUCUUCAGCUAGCUCUUGAAAAAAAACAUAUAACAAAUCCAUCAAUUGUCAGUUUCAGAUACCAUUGCAGAUGAAUAAUCUUGUUUAUCGACAGCAGGAACGUCCAGCAAUGGAAAAACUGAAUGGUGGACUCAACAGAAAAGCUGGAACGAUACAAACAUAUCAAGCAAGGCUACCAACAGCCACAAAAUGAUGCAGAUGCUAUACUAGAAAAGAACUCUGUCCACAUGCAUGGUCCCAGAGGGGGUUGAUGUUAUUCCAAAGCCCUUGUUUUGAAUUCUCAAGUGGUGCUUCAGAUGAUAUUUCUGAUGUGCUACAGCAGAACGAAAAAUGUAAGCCAACAAAGAGAUGACCUGUUUUGACAAGCUUAAGAAUUAAAUAUUAAGCACCUUGAGAUGUUUUGCUGGAUCACUUGAUGGCUGCCCAUGCAUGAUGCAGGUAUUGGUGUGUGUGCCCCAUCGUAGAUCACAAAACCCAACAAACAGGCCAUCUCCAAACACGCCAGGAGUAGUGAAGAGCUUGACUAUAUUUCAGAACUGGAUGGACAGAGCAGACAAACACAACUGAAAACUAUUAUGGCAGCAAUCCAAAUUGGUUUGAAAGCCUAAUAACAAAGGGAAAGUAUCGAUUACCGAUUCGCAUGCACUUAAUCUAGGAAAGUCCAGAUUUCUUUUCGUGCUCAAAAAGUACGUGCUGCAUGCCAAAGAUCGAACCCGGCGCACCGUGCCCACGUGUAACAAUGUUUUCAUUAGAAGAGAACGUGCAGUGGAGACAUGAUCUUCUUUACAUGGUUCAACUGAAUUUUGGAUCCAUCGUAUCAGAAAUUCAGAAUAGAUAUAUAGUUUCGAUGAUCUCUGUCAAAUCAUAUCUUAUAUAUAUACCUCUAUGAGUAGUAUGUAUUUAUUAAUUAUUUCGCAAAAAGUAUGUAUUUAUUAAUUGCAAUAUAUGCAAAAUACCCACGUGCUCAGCAAUUCAUCUUGUUUUAUGAUUUGAUACAAUACAUAUAUACGUGCAAAAUAUUCCAAAAAUAUCUUGCCAAGUUUUUGCAUAUAUAGAAGUACCUAAAUAUACGGAUUUGAUAAGUCGAUUGACAAGCCCAUAAAAUAGAAAGGUUUUACUGCAUCCACGUAUAAUACCAAAGAUACAAUCCCCCCGUGCCUGUAUAUAUUCACACAUCUCCGUCUCGCUUUCUCUCAAGUAAAAUCGUCUAUCUAGUUUAGUCGUAGGAGGUACAUACGCAAUGGUUGUUUUCACGGGGAAUUUGCUGACCUUUUUGCUAUGCAUUUCCCUCUUUGAAGGUUGGUCUCUGCUUCUAGUUUAUUUCUACGCGCGUGUAUAUAGCUCUAAUUUUCGAAAGGUUUCAAGUCUCAUCCUAUUGGCUAUUUUGUAAAAGAAUAUAAUUCUGAAGCUGUAUUUGCCAUGAUGUUUAUGUAUGCAGGUUGGAUGGUCCAGUCGGUUCCGUAUGAUCAUACGGCGAGCAUUGAGGCAAGUCUUUGUUUUCUUUUUCUGCCCGAUCGAUGGAUGUAAAAUUGGCUUGUUUACACAGAAGAAAUCACCUUUUUGCUGCUUACCAGUAGAAACACUUGGCCGAAAAGACAGAUUAGUCAUGCAGGAAUGUUAUCUGGGUUUCACAAUAGAUGGUGUUUUUGCGAGUAAUAUACUUCCUCCAUCCAAUAAAAAAUGUCUCAAGUUUGUCAAAAUUUGAAUGUAUUUAGAUAUGACUUAGGGUGUGUUUGGUUGGUGAGUAGACGAGAAUGGGUUGGUCUCAACCAGAUUUUAAGGACGGGGCAAACCAAAAUUUGUGUUUGGUUAAGAUGAAUGGAGCCAACCAAAUUUGAUGUUUGGUUCGAUAGGUCGUUGCCGAGCGCUGUCAUCUCCUUCAUCUCCGGCCACGUACGCCGCGUCAGACCUCGCCAUCUCCCUCAUCUCCGGCCACGGCCGCCGCCGCAGACCUCGUCGCAGGCCACGGGCGCCGCCGGAAACCAGGCCAUCUCCCUCGUCGCCGGCCGCCGUCUUCGCCAUCUCCCACGUCGCCGGCCACCGUCCUCGCCAUCUCCCUCGUCGCUGUCCCUGACCUCGCCAUCUCCCUCGUCGCUGUUCCUGACCUCGCCCUCUCUCUCGCCGGCUACAGCAGCAGCAGCUCCGCCGCCUACAACCUUGCCGGACUGCUACGCCGCUGCCCUAUCCGCCGCCUCUAACCUCGCCGGCCGCCUGCACGCCACGCCAGCCACCUGCCCCACCUCGCCGGCUGCCUCCGACCUCGCCCGCUGCCUGCCUUGCGCCCGCGAGAGGCCGCUCGCGUCCAAUGAGCCGCGUGAGUCGGCCGAUUUGGCCGGUUCACGCGGAACGGCAUAAUCGUGGAAUAUUUUCCUCUGGGCCAAACUGCUCACGAGCCAAACGUGAAGAAAAAGGCCUUUGGGCUGUGUGACACAGCGCGGGGCAGCUCGGACUCAUAAACCAAACUUAUAGACGCAUUUAAAUUUAGUCAAAGUUGAGAAAUACUUUGUUGGACGGAGGGAGUAUCACAUUCAAAGCAUUAAUUUCAAUGGUUGUGUACUUAAGCAAAUGUUUGAUCCUGAUCGUGCAUCUUCUUGUGCAGUGCUUGAAGAACCCGACGAGGCCUCUGUACAACGGCGGCAUCAUCCAGAACAGCGAGUUCAACAACGGCCUGGCCGGCUGGUCGGUGCCGUUCGGCGUCAACACGAGCGUCAUCAGCUCGCCGUCCGGCAACAAGUUCGCCGAGACGAGCAACAAAGCCCAGCCUUCCCGCAGCGUCUCCCAGAAGUUCCUCAUGGAAGCCAACCACCACUACUCCCUCUCAGGUAUACCAUAAGUAUCUGAAUUUCUCAACUUUUGAAAAAUUGUUUUGUGUGUCAAUCAAUGGCUGAUUGGCUCCAAUAUAUGUAUGUGUGCAGCAUGGUUGCAGGUUUCGUCCGGCACGGGCGCCAUAGUGAAGGCGACCUUCAAGGCCCCCAACGGCGCCUUUAUCGCCGGCGGCUCCAUCGUGGCCAAGUCCGGCUGCUGGAGCAUGCUCAAGGGCGGCAUGACCUCCUACACCUCCGGCCCUGCGGAGCUCUUCUUCGAGGCCGACGGCGCCGCCGUCGACAUCUAUGUCGACAGCGUCUCCCUGCAGCCCUUCUCCUUCCCCGAAUGGGACGCCCACGCCAGUAUCUCCACCUCAAAAACCCGCAAAAGCACCAUAAAAAUCCUCGCCCGGCAACGGUCCAGCGGCGAACCUCUCGCGAACGCCAAGCUGAGGAUCAACCUCCUCCGGCCGGGGUUCCCGCUGGGCAACGCCAUGACUCCCGAGAUCCUCAGCAACCCGGCCUACGAGCAGUGGUUCGCGUCCCGGUUCACGGUGGCCACCUUCGAGAACGAGAUGAAGUGGUAUGCCACGGAGCCCCGGCAGAACCUGGAGGACUACCGUGUCCCCGACGCCAUGCUUCGGCUGGCCGAGAGGCACGGGAUCAAGGUCCGCGGCCACAACGUGGUCUGGGACGACCCCAAGACGCAGAUGAACUGGGUGGAGUCGCUGAGCCCGGACCGGCUGAGGGCCGCCGUGGAGAAGCGGGUCCGGUCCGUCGUGUCCCGGUACGCCGGGAAGGUGAUCGCCUGGGACGUGGUCAACGAGAACCUCCAUGGGGACUUCUACGAGAGCAAGCUCGGCGCUGACGUAUCCGCCCAGCUGUACAGCCAGGUGGGCCAGAUUGACCGUCAGGCUCUGUUGUUUAUGAACGAGUAUAACACGUUGGAGGUGCCCAUGGACGCCAACGCGUUGGCAAGUAAGUACAUGGCGAAGAUGAACCAGAUCAGAUUCUACCCUGGGAACUUGGGGAUGAAGCUGGCUGUUGGGCUGGAGAGCCAUUUCGGCGCCCCGAACAUCCCCUUCAUGAGGGCCACGCUGGACAUGCUGGCGCAGCUAAUGGUGCCUAUCUGGCUUACGGAGGUUGACGUGGUGGCGGGGCCGAACCAGGCGGGUUACCUGGAGGCCGUGCUGAGGGAAGGCUAUGGCCACCCGGCCGUGCAGGGGAUGGUGAUGUGGGCGGCAUGGCACGCCAAGGGGUGCUACGUCAUGUGCCUCACCGACAACGGCUUCCGGAACCUCCCUGUCGGUGAUGUCGUCGACAAGCUCAUCGCCGAGUGGAGGACGCACCCGUUGGAGGUCACCACGGGUUGCAAUGGCGCGGCGGAGCUGGACCUCGUCCACGGCGAGUACAACUUCACGGUCACUCACCCGGACCUGGAGUCUCCCACCGUGCACACUUUGACGGUGGAUGCGGCGUCGUCUUCUUAUGCUUCAUUGUCAUCUGACCUCACUUUAGACAUCAAGGUGUAGGGACAUUCAUAUUACUUCGCAUUUGUACUGUAUGUCUUGAUCUAAUUGUUGACCCAUUAUAUGUAUCAUUGGAAAUAUGGGAGGAUAAUAUACAAACGGUUUUGGGACAUAUAUAUCUGUGAAAGUAUAUCAAUGUCAUCUCCUUAAUUAAUUCCAACUUGAAGAGUUUUUUUUUUUGGAAGGAACCCUGCUUUAUACGGUAGUAGUUUAUUGGAAGAUUGGAAAGAUCAGAACCGUCUGUGAUAUUAUAUUAUCAUGGAUCUUUUUUUAGAGGAUAUUAUGAUGGAUCUUGGUACUAAUCUGUGUAUGAGGUAAUUAAGAUCAAUUGUUAAUCAUAACAGUCCAUUCUAUAGAAAUUUGAGAUGUUUUUUUGUAUGGGCUUUCAGGUGAUUUACGAAGAGCAGCAAGCGCCUGGUGAGGGAAAUAUCAGCAGCACACAAAAGCUAUUAUCUCAGGAGAAAAAACUCUUCCUUUUUUGUAUUUUGAGUGCCAGUGCCUUUCUUGCCAGUAUUUCAGUAUGCUAGAUGUUGGUGUCAUGACUCAUGACCAGCUAGGUUCCAUCUUUUUUAUUCCACGAAUGCUGCACGGUUAUUGAGUUCCCAUGCAUUUGUAUUCCUGAAUACCCUCAGUUAUUUGAGGGUGCGGACGAAUUGUACAACUCAUUACCUCCAGUAAUAGUACCGACUUUUGACUAUAGAGCUUAUCAGUGAGCUGAGUAACACUUUCUGUUUGUUUGGUAUUUGAUAGCCCAUUUAACUAGUAUUCUUAAAUUUAAAUUCCAAAUUUGACUUGCACUUUUUGUCCAAAACUUUUUGAUUUUUUUCCGAAAUUCGGCAAUUUCGUUCAGGGGCGAAAAGUAUAGUAGAAACCGAAAUCCAAACCAUGGGCUCGCGGGUGACACCAUCUGCUGAUGAUCGAGCAGAGAUUGCUGCACUACGUCGGGCAUCAGUGUGGUGUUCGUGCUCGCGCUGCUCCUUCUGUUUUAGAACAGCUCGCGCUGCUCUUCCUCUGCCUCUCCUGUUGCCGCCGCCGCCGCAACGGACUGGACCUCUCUCUGCCCUGGCCCGACACUAAGCCCAUCAAGCAGCGAGCGCAGCAGCAGCCCACUCCACCCCCACCCGAGGCUCCGAGCUUGAUGUCCAUAUAUGUCUCCUCGAUCGGCCCACGGCCCAAUACGUGGACCUAGGUGGCCAUCAUUGCCUUAGCCCAUCCGAAUAUGGAGAUAUUCCUGUUUCCCGUGGAAUGUAAUGUACCCGCCGCUUCUUUUUCUUGGACACGGCCGUCCGUAUACGUUGGCGUUUGGUUCGUUGGGCGGUGAAGAAAGCACCGGACCGCCACCCAAAGGCAAACAUCCACGAGUAUCCUCUAAAAAAACAUCCACGAGUCUCACAAUAUCUGCACUCGAAAAUAUUGAUCUUUUGUUGAUCCAUACGUUCCGGUGAUCUUUCUUUUGUUGGCAUUCUCAGUUUCAAGUUACUCCGAUGCAAAACAAAAAAAGGAAAAAAACAUGCAUGUGUAUAUAUCACUUUGUAAAUGAUGUGACUCGACGACGGCUUUCCAAAGGAUUAUCCAUUAUUCGUUUCGGUUGGUGCAUGGCGAUCCUACACCUACAUUUUUAUGCUUGGAGUCGCUGGAUGACGCAAGAAUCAUUCCUUUGUACCGUGGCAAUAAUGCACCUGUGUGCCAAGAUAUCUCCAGGUAUAACUGCCAGAAUCAGCAUCAGAGGUGCGCGAAAAUGCACCGGUCGACUCGCCUUAGCCGGCGCCCGCGCCCGGACUACAUAUAUACACCCUGUAGAGAGACGCGAAAAAAAGUGCAUCCAGCGGUGCCGGAGAGCUACUUGAAGGUCAUCCAGGGUUCCUUAAUUUUGAUGGAAAGUGGCACGGCAGUUAGCCCGCCAUCUCCUCAAUCUCUUCCUCCAUCUAGUUACCUUGUAUAGGACUAGCUUGGAGAUCAAGCCUAGUGAUUGUAGUACUCCUACUUGCCUUGUAAUGCUCCUUGUAAUCUGGUGAUUGAUCACCUGUGAUAAUAUAUAUAGAGAGACAAUGCGGCCUCCAUUGGAGGUAGAACGCUGUAACCAAUUUCACAUGGUAUCCGAGCUCCGUCUCCUCAUAUUUCAUCUAAAAAAUGGCAUCGUCUACUUCUAUCUGUGAGAUCGAGAUAAGCAAUCAGAGGGGGGUGAAUGAUUGCGCGGAAGCAAAUUAAAACUUUUUCCGAAAGUUCAAACCCUAAAUCACCUUUCUAUCCAUGAUAGUAAAAGAGCCGUAACUUUUGAUUGGAUGAACAAAAAAAUACGUAUGAGUAUGCAAAAGAAAGGUAUUAAAAUUAUCUAACCAACGCAAUAAGAAUCAGCUCAAUUGGACUUACCAAUCAAAAGAUAUGAUCAAAUUAGUAACAGCUGACAGAAAGUUACGAGAAUUAAUCUAUAAUUGAUUUCGAGGAAUAACAAGAAAGAUGAAGUAAUCGCAAUCUUUCCUUGAUCUCGUGGUAAAUCUGCAGUAAAGUAUUAUGAACUCGUGAUAAACCUGCCGCAAAGUGUUAGAAAGAUCUAGCACGAAGAAUCCACGAAGAUCCGAGAAAAACAGAAAUGACACCGCCAACGAAUCUCUUUAUUGCAACGAUAUCGAUCGAUUACAAAAAAUGCAACCAUGCAUCCAAGAACUCUCCAAGAAUUGAUCUAGAUCUAAAGCUCUGAGUUCCGUUAUGUCCUUGCAAAAAUCGUAGCUAGGAUGACCUCUAUUUAUAAGGGAAAAUUCGCGACCCUAAACCGAGUCCUAAUCCAACACGAACUUCUCUGUCCCGGUCGUUAUUCUGCUCGUGGGGCCCACAUACGACCUCGGAUUGAGAUGACUCCAAAAGCAAAGUUGUUCGUAUCGACGACGCGCACAACGUUUUUGUGGACUACUUUUCCAUCGGACGCCAUCUUGAUGACGCUACUGUUUAAUCUUUAAACAGCUCUCAUCCAUCCACGGCUGGACAUACAUGUCUUCACGUCGAUGCCACUCCAUGUCAUCAACUCUUCUUGUGAUGUCUUCAAAACUCGACCAUCACGUGUCAAAUAUCUCCAAUACAGUACAUCUUCGGUAUAAACAACGUACGACAAAUCGGUGCCCUCCCGGAUCAUCGUAGUUCACUUUCAUUGUUUCCUUCACACGAACGUCCCGCAUGACAUUGAUCCCUCGACCUCAACUUCUCCCAAGCUUCGUCCCUCGAUCCCGUCAUCGACCAUGUUUCUGUUAGGUUCGUUGCAUAGGAAACAAAAAUUUUCCUACGAGAAGUGCGGAAGAAAACCCAAGAAUAUAUAUACUAGAUGUAUGUAACGAGAGGGAUCAUGAACACUAUACCCUCGUAGACCGCUAAGCGUUACGAUCACGAGAUCGUUGUUGGUGUAGUGGAACUUUCAAUGAGAUCAAUCUCAGUGCCGAACGGACAGCACCUCCUUGGUAUCCACACGUUCAGCUUCACGUUGUCUCCUCCUUCCUCGAUCCAGCAAGCGAGAGGGAGAGGUAGACGAGAUCCCGGCAGCACGACGGCGUGGUGACUAUGGUGAAUAUUCUCACGGGCAGGGCUACGCCGUGCGCGUGAGAAGAGGAGGAGAGGAGGGCUCAGGGGAGAGAGAUCCAACUGAAAGCUUGGGGUUGUCUCUCUCCCUUGCCCCCCCUUCUAUUUAUAUAGGGGUAGAGGAGGCGUGGCCGGCUAGGACUAUCCCGUGGCCAGGACUCUCCGGCGGCCAGGACUCUCAUGCGGCCAGGACUCUCCCGCGGCCAGGACUCUCCUCCUGGCCGCAUGGGCCCUGUGGGCUAGCCCCUCGGCCCAUUAAGGCCAGGGUGCUCCCUCACAGGCCCAUUUAGCCCAGGGAUAGGUGGGCCUCAAGGUGGAACCCUCCGGAUCCCUCCAGAACCUUCUAGAAGCUUCCCGGUCAAAACCGGGAAAUAUUCCAAACUUUCCAGAACCCUGAAAACAACUUUCCAUAUAUAAAUCUUUAUCUCCGGAACAUUCCGGAGCUCCUCGUUGCGUCUAGGAUCCCAUCCAAGACUCCGAAUCAUAAUUCGAUAUUAUCAUCAUUUAUCUCAUCUAACCCAAGCAACAUGAAACGUUAAGUGUGUGACCCUACGGGUUCGAGAACAUGUGGACAUGAUCAAAUAUCAAUAACCAAUAGCGGGACCUGGAUGUCCAUAAUAGUUCCCACAUAUUCCACGAAGAUCUCAUCGGUUGAACCACUAUGUCGAGGAUUCAAUUAAUCCAGUAUCCAAUUCUCUUUGUCUCGCGAUAUAUUACUUGCCCGAGAUUUGAUCGUCGGUAUCGCCAUACCUAGUUUAAUCUCGUUACCGGCAAGUUCUCUUUACUCGUUCCGUAAUAUAAUACCCUCGCAACUAAACACAUUAGUCGCAUGCUUACAAGCUCAUUAGGAUGUUAUAUUACCGAGAGGGCCCAGAGAUAUCUCUCCGUCACAAGGAGUGACAAAUCCCAGUCUUGAUCCAUACAACCCAACAAGCACCUUCUGGGAUACCUGAAAAACACCUUUAUGAUCACCCAGUUACGAGAUGACGGUUGAUGCCCACAAAGUAUUCUUCCGGUACUAGGGAGUGGCAUGAUCUCAUGGUCUAAAGAAAUAAUACUUGACAUAAUAAAACAUAAGCAACUUAAACUUAAGUGACACGAUCAAAAGCUAUGUUUAGGUUUGGGUCUGUCCAUCACAUCAUUCUCCUAAUGAUAUGAUCUCGUUAUUAAAUGACAACACAUGUCUAUGGUUAGGAAACCUUAACCAUCUUUAAUCAACGAGCUAAUCUAGUAGAGGCGUAUUAGGGACACGGUAUUUGUUUAUUUAUCCACACAUGUAUUUGAGUUUCCAAUCAAUACAAUUAUAGCAUGGGCAAUAAACAUUUAUCAAGAACAAUGAAAUAUGAUAAUAACAAAUUUAUUAUUGCCUCUAGGGCAUAUUUCCAAUAGUUUCUGGCAACACCUAAAAGCGAACACACAAAUAAACAGUACGAGUACAAGUUCACGACUUGACUCAGGAUAAGUUCCACACAACUCACGCCAUAUUUUUCACAUAAGAAACUAAUGGAUCAACACACCACUAGCAAAGUUCUAAGUCCAAACAAGAUACAAGUCAUCAUAUAAAUAUCCAUAUUAUCCAAAGUAUCCACAUCAAUGUUUCACCUAAAACACCUGCCAAUGUUACACAUCAUCUAUGAUUUCACACUAUCUCCGCGGGCCUUUUAGCGCCCAUGGUAGUUGUCUCGAGUUAGUUUCUCGGUGACAGGAACCAUGGGCGCCAAGAGGCCCGCGGAGAUAGAGGUAGACAAUGACAUUUUUUAUAUGAGAUCUGAGGAGACGGAGCUCUGAUACCAUGUAAAAUUCGCUGAAGUGUUUUACCUCCAAUGGAGGCCCCAUUGUCUCUAUAUAUGUUAUCACAGGUGAUCAAUCACCAGAUUACAAGGAGCAUUACAAGGCAAGUACAAUCACUAGGCUUGAUCUCCAAGCUAGUCCUAUAUGCAAGGUAGCUACAUGGAGGAAGAGAUUGAGGAGAUAGCGGGCUAAUUGCCCUGCCAUGUACGGAGUAUAUACUUUCCAACAAUCUCAUUUUGUGUUGUUUAAUCAAUUUAAUUAGCAUUCUCAUUAUAUAGUAUAUGGUGUCUCUGUCCAAGAAAGCCAUGGGACACGAUGCUUGGACAAUGAGAUCAGGAUAACUGGAUUGUUCCCCUGCCUCCUUGGAAUAUACUCACGGCAGCGCAUCUGGCAUAAUCCAAGGGUAGCACUAGUGUGCUCCGAUUGCUGCGUGAUCACUAGCUAGCCAGUUGCUUCAUUGCGGUCAUAAAGUAUCCGAAAGAAAAGCGAUCCUACAGCUUCCUUUUUGAUGAAAGCGGCGUCCGGCCGUCCGGGUUCUAGAAAUUGGUUCGGUAGUAUGUUAAUUUUUUUUUUGAAAAAGAGAAGAGGUACUCACUCCGUCCAGAACCGGAUAGAGUGGUAUGUAUUGUUGACCUCCCAAAUGAAGGUUCGUUUAAUUGGUUGGUGAGAUCCCCCCGUACGUUUUGCCGUACAUGCAUGCUUAAGUUCAGCUGAUCAAAAGUUGGUACUCCGUACCACACUUCGUUAAAAUUAUAAAUCCUUUACAUGCGUGACCCGAUUUGCAACGAACUUAUUUUUCUUUGCAUCAGCAGCGAACCAUACUAGUGUAGCACCACAAUUAUAAUUUGUUCCAGCAGAGAGAAAUUCUUCUUCUUCAUUUUUUAAUUGCAGAGAGGAACUCGUAUUUGGUGGAGCUUACAUUGAAGCUAACAGAGGUGUCGUUCUUUCUCAUGCAUUCAUUUUGUGGGAUGCGUCGACGGCGGCAAUGCAAAUUAUAGAUCGAGGUAGGAGCUACCGAAGACCUUUUUUGGCCCUCGGCGAGGUGCAUGCAAUUUAAUUAUAUCAUUCGCUCUGUAGUUUCGCAUUGUUUAGUUCAUAGUUAAUUAGUUUCAACCCAGCUUGUAGAAUAGUCCAACUAAAUAUGCAAGUCACCGAUCACUUAGUUGAUUUUCUCAGCUUAGUUUUGGAUCUGGCAAGUGCCCUAUAUAUAUUUCAACGGUCAUAGCUAAGCUUAGCUAGUACUGUGCGUACGGGUCUUCAGUGUUAACGUUUACGUUAAGUGAGUAAUUAAGUACGCUGCGUGAUAGUGUACUCAACGUACGUCUCGUGUAUGCAUCCAUGACCGAAGAGUAGCUCGUUAUUCAGCCCAGAACUCGGAGCCUAACAGGUCAAGCCGAAUUUAGAUUUGAACUCGUUAACGGAAAUGGAGUUGAGUAUCGAGUCACUUUCAGAACACAACGAUUCGGUCCCUGCAAUUCGAUUAGAAGAAAGAAUAUUAAUUGACCUCAUCUAUAAGGAAAACAGGGCGUAAAAACCAUACAAAAUACAGAUCCUCAUUAGACUCGUUUAACUCUGUCUAUAUUAACACUUUAGAACUUAAUGAACACUUUAAUGUAUUUUGGAUUACUAUAUUAAGUUGCAGUAUUGCAUAUAUACUAGUAACGUUAAACUACUUGCAAUGUUUGGUCUAAUCUUGUGAAGUUGGAAAUGUUAAGAGCGUGAAUUAUGGUUAAAUUGAGCGAUAUAUGUAUAGAUGUACCAUAUGUUGAGAUAGUCAAAUUUUAUAGACCAUGCAUAUGUUAUAUGCAUGCCCAAUCUUGUUAACGAGCUUAAUGCAUGAGUUUAGCGAGCUUAACUCGUGAGUUACAUGGGUCGAGCCGUGUUUAAUUUUGAACUCAUUUUAACAUGAAUGAGUUGAUUCGAAUGAGCUCGAUUAUCUUAACGAGUUGAAUCGAGUCGAGCCUAGCUGAGCAGAUUCAAGGAUAGAACAAUCGAGACGUUAUCCUCUUUUUACGGUUAAAAGUACUACAAGCAACUUGCCCAUACAUAUACAGCCUAGCCAUGUGCACGUACGACCUUAGCUUGUCGGUAAGCUGACCUUAGAGGAGCUUGAUGUUAGCAAGGGAAGUUGGAAAGUUAAUCAAGCGCAGCAAAUUAAUGAUAAGUCGAUAUUAGGCAUAUGUGCAUGCCUUGUCUAGGCACCUAGUAUAUUAGUAAAGGCCAUGAUUAACACACUGGUUUGGACUAAAAAUAACCGGCUUGCCAUCCCCGGCCUCUUGGUUUGGUUUCUGGCUCGUGAUCUCGCCCUUCCAACAUGCAUCGCCACUCUGUCCAUGGACAGAUCAGCCUAACGCGAGAUCCAGAUUUAGAGCACCGCAUAUGCAUGUGUUCUCGGACGCGGGAGUAUCUCGAGCCAAUUUUGAAUCAACUCUAAUCUAUAGAAAUACCCGAUCAAACCAAGUCCUAUGCCACGUCAGUAAUAUUUAUAUGGAUGGCGGUGUUGCGAAAACAAUUCUAAAUUACAACACAAUCUUAAUUAGGACUAGCAGAGUGUCCGUGCGUUGCUACGGAAUAAUUUUUCUCGUGCGGGAAAUCCGUUUCGUGUGGGGACUGAGAAGAACGGGAGCUUGCACUUGUGUCGUGUGGGAGAACGAGAGGAGGGGGCUUGCGCUGAGGAUGAACGAAGACGGACGACUUCAGGACCUGGGGUAUUAGGUGGCAUAUUGGACGUAAUUUCGGUGACGUGACGUACCGCGACACCAACUCCAAUUUAAUAUAUCUAUUACUAUCUAUUAAAUUGGAGUUGGUGGUGAUGAUAUGGUCGCGGUCGUCGCCGUAGGUUAACUUCGUUAAAAUUACAACCAAUAUGCCACUGAUCGUUAUUUUUUUUUCUCCAGUUAAAAUUACAAUCAAUAUGCCACUGCCCGUUAUUUUCUUUUCAUCCAAUUUUUUUUCACGAUUUUUCCUACUCCAUCUUACAACCGACGCCACCACACCCGCAUGCCGAUCUCGACAGCGCCAUGAGUUGCCUACACAGAAAAUAAAAAUAAAUAGUUUGUGAUUUUAUUAACCCGUAGCAACGCGCGGGCACACCUGCUAGAUUUUAACUUUUCAAUUGAUUCAGUUCAAAACACCGUUCCGGCGUUCCCCCUCUCGUAUUCUCCCCGUUACCCAAUUUUCUUUUCAUCCAGUUUUUUUCAUGAUUUUUCCUACUCCAUCUUACAACCGACGCCAUCACACCCGCAUGCCGACCUCGACAGCGCCAUGAGUUGCCUACACAGAAAAUAAAAAUAAAUAGUUUGUGAUUUUAUUGACCCGUAGCAACGCGCGGGCACACCUGCUAGAUUUUAACUUUUUAAUUGGUUCAGUUCAAAACACCGUUCCGGCGUUCUCCCUCCCGUAUUCUCCCCGUUACCCAAUUUCCCCAUACCCGUGGCUUACCUGAAACUCCAUGGCUCCCGCUGGCCGCUGGUUCCUCAUCAAGUGGCCUCCUCCUCCUCCUCCUCCUCCAGCGGACUCCGCCACCGCCACCUCCUUUCUCGCAGACCCGCCGCCGCCUCCUGUUGCGGCCCACGGCGCCGCCGCCUUCUGCAGUGGUCGCUGCCGCAGACUGCUGCUGUUCCCAUAGACGCCGUCGUCACCGAUGACUCCUCUUCUAGUAACGUUUGGUUUUGAGACGCAUUGGUAUUUUUUGGCAGGCUAGCUAGCAACGGCCUGCUCGUCGUAACGGGAGGGCACCGGAAGGAGGGCCGCAGGAGGGUGCGCCGUUGCAGUGGGAAGGGGUGGGAUGGAUAUGUCGCGAUGUAGAGAAGUCGCCGGCGUUGUGCCGCGGGGACCGGGAAGCUCGUCUGCGCCGCCGCGUGGGGAGGGAUCGAUGGGCAUGUCGCGUUGCAGUAAACUGAGAAAAGUCGCCGGCGCUGUGCCGCGGGGAGCUUGUCCGCGCCGCCGCGUUGGGAGGGAUGGGCAUGUUGCAUUGCAGGGAGCCAGUGACGUCGCCGGCGCGGUGCCACGGGGAGCUCGUCAGUGCGAUCGAGAGAGACGCUGCCGCGGGGGUGCCGCGGAUGGCUCGGAUGCGGGAGGUCUUCUUUUUGCAGGGCUUGACAACAGCUAAGCGAAAUGUUUUUUUCUCGUGCGGGAGUGGCAUGUCCCUCGUAAUUUUGAUGAAAAGACCUACCGCAACGUCCGUACCAUCACCACCAACUCCAAUUUAAUAUAUUGGUAUAGAUUUGUGUGGUUUUCUCCAUAUUUUUAGGUAGGGUGUGGCUAUCUAUCAAUCGAUUGAUUUUUAAGAAAGACAGCCAUAAGAUUUAGAUGGCAUCCCAUUUUCUCACCUCCCAUAUGCCGUCGUUUGAUUAAGAUCAAACGGUCAACAAGUCAAUUUAUUUCUAACUAAAAUCAGUCGACUUUUCUGUAGCAAUAACGUUUGUACUAUACUCCAUAUUUGCAUGGUGGGAAGGAAUAAGUCAAGAAGUUUAGGAAACAAGAGCAUAUACUUCCAUCCAGUGAUGGAUCUUUCUAAUAUCCAACUAACAUACCUGUCCUUUCAAAAAAAAAAAACUAACAUACGUAGAACCAAGGGCUCAAGUUUGGUAGAGGAAUAGAGCUUCAAUUUUGUAGAGUAUACUCACACAAAAAAAAACAGGUAAAUAUAUACUCUCUCCGUUCCAAAUUAACUGAUAUGGAUUUUGUGUAGAUUUUUAUAAAAAUCCAUGCCAUUUAAUUCGGGACGGAGAAAGUACUACCUUUGGUUUUCUUAGGAGUGCAUGGAAUUUUUCGUCAAGAUAAACUUUGAGCUAGUUUGCAAACUUUUCCCAGAAAUACUACUAUAUCCUUUUUUUUAGAUUACCCCAAAAAACGAGUUGCAUUUGCACGGGCUUUCCUUUCUUCAGCGUGCACGACACUGUUUCCCAAAUUUCCCAUUCCACGGCUAAAAGCCCUUGCGUAGCAACACCAAACAACCUCAGGGACCAUACUGCAAAAGAACAUAAUUUUUUUUCCCCAACUAGAAAUCAACAAAUUUAAUGACGUAGUGAACCGUGCAAGGAUUUGAUCUCCUUUUCCUGUGAGAUCACCACGUAUCUCAUUCCUCUCUCUCUGUUGUUUCCCCACCUCACAGGCCCGAGAGCGAGCGCACGCCAGGAAAUUGGCCAAGGGAGGGCGUUGGUGGAGUUUUGGGAGCAGUUCCUCCCAGCGUCCGGAGCAUAUUCCACGCCGGGAUCCCCUCCCGUCUUCCCCACAUAAACGCAGCCCCGCCCCCCCUUCCCCCGGGGAGAUAGAGGGACGAGGGACGUAGGACAGCAUGUGUUCUUGACGGGGAGUCCAAUCCAAAAGGUCAGUACAUCCAUCCAUGGUUUUCUUUUUUCCCCCGGUCGGGCGUGCACGAGAGAGUGGGUCGAAUCUAUGUUGCUGGAGGAGGCGUCGUUGGUUUUGCGGGGAGGGAUUUGGAUCCUCGCCGCUGGUUUGUUUGGUCGCAGAUCCGUUUCGUGGGGAGGAGUUUUUCUGCCCGGCGGUUGCUCGGUGCAAUGCUGGUCCGGUCCGGUUGUGUGAUCCGAUUUUGCGCGGCAGUUAUUUUGCAGAGGGCAAUGCGUUUGCUAAUUUUUGUUUGUGAAUGACUUUUUUUUUAAAUAGGAAUUCUAUUCAAGACUGGUGGAUUGUGAUGUUCACACGUUCUUUUCUUUUUUUUUUGCGAUUUGGUGCUAAUCCUGAAUGUUUCAGUGGGGAUUCCUGAGUAACUAUAUCUAUAUGAGAAUGGCCCUUACGUUUGAUGGCUUCCACUUUUGUUUUGGUGCAGUUUCAGAUUCAUCUGUGUGUGUGCAAAUGUUUAUACGAGUUGGUUUCUAUCCCUUAUUAUUUUGGUUUUAAUUUUUGCUUUACCCUCUCUUUCUCUCGGCAAUGUGAAAUAUGCGUUACUUCUGCCGUUCCUCAUUGAAUUGACUAUUGUUGGGACAGAAAACUGUCUCUUUCUGAGUGGAUCACAUUUCUGUUCAUUGCUGAUUUCGGUAGUUGAUCUAUUUUCUAGAGGGGAUCUUUUCUGGGUUCUUUGUUUUUUAAGAUGAUCUUUUGUGUGUUCUUUAGCCGAUCAUUAGAGCAUUACUUGGGACUUACUAUUAAAUUGUGUUGAACCAAUUCAGAAGUUGAAACGGUACUGUGUAAGGGCUUUUAGACAGAAUAUCGUGCUCAAUUGCUUGCAUGGUGUAUAUCACACUGUUGUAUCUGAAGAUUUGUUACUUGAAGCCUGAAUCAAUACAGAUGACUAUUUUCAAUAUGAACUAGUGUAUUUUGUAGUUUCAGUGUAGCCUCAGUUUGCGGUUUCUGUGGUGAUCUUUAAGAUAUGCAAAAAAACUUGUGGAGAGUCUGCUUCUUUGUUUGGUAAAUUUGAUUAUUAGAUAAAUUAUACUAUUCUUAUCCUCAUUUAUUUGAGAGCAAAAAUGCUGUUGGCCAAACACCCAAAUCUGCCAAAGCUAUUCAACCAAAUUUAAAUAUAUUCCAUAACAGUACUAGCGCACUUAAAAAUGUCCACCUAGUAGUGUACCUUUUAGAUUGUACAAUCGACACGCUAGAUUUUAAUUAGCAUGGGAUGGUUAUUUCCCCCUCAAAAGUAAGGACUGGAAUGCAAGAUGUGUCAGCCUGUCAGGGGGAAGUUCCAUUUCUCUAUUGAAGUUGGGUCCUGAACAUUUGUUUUCAAAGGUUGGUUAUACGCUGAGUUAUAUCAAUUCACAAGAUUCAUACUUCCGCCCAUAUCUUAAAGAGACAAUUUCAUCACUGGAAUGAUCUACUGUGGAACUCAUGAGCAUACAUUCUUUAGUUAAACAUUAGUUUCCACAUUACAUUGUUUUACUAAUUUGAGUUCAUUUUACAAAUGGUGCAGGUUGAUCUAUAUUCUAUGGAUGCUUCUUCAUCUAGCAUCCCAUUUUGAGAUGGAAAUAGAAUCGUAACUUCAUGGAAUUCUAAUAAAAUAAUUGGGCUCAGGAUGAAGAUCUAGUGCCAUGCUGUCCUAGGUUACCUGGUUAGUUUUUAGGAUAGCAAAACAGUCUCAGAUAGUGGGGAGGAUAUUCAUCCAACUUUCUGCCAAUUCUCCUUGCAGAGAGAGUACUGUAAUUACACAGACCUGUAUUUUGUUUAGGACCAAGAUAAGCUUAGUAGUCAUUAGUCAAACAGUACUGGAACAGUUGUUGCUGUCGUGAAAUACUUGUGUCAAGCAGUUCAACAGUCGACCAGCCUUUCUAGGUACUAUAGCAUUUAAAUUAAACAAAUGCCAUCGUAUGAUAAUUUUGUGAUGGUUACUGAUCUGCUUCUAUCUCGUAGAUAAUUGUGCUUUCCUAAAGUGCCAUGGAGACUUCUGUAUCUCCGCCAGGCUCGUCAAAGCAAGCUGCUGUUCGCAGACCUUGUCCUGGAAGCUCUUUUAAGGAUCUGUGUUUUGUUUCAAAACAAGGGUCAAUAACUGAAGUUGAAUCUGCUUUGGCCUUGUUGAAAAAGAGUGGUGGAAGUGUGGACGGUAGAAAUGCAUUUGGCCUUAGUGCGCUACACCUUGCAACAUGGAGAAAUCACCUUCCAAUCGUGAGGAGGCUCCUAGAUGCUGGUGCUGAUCCAGAUGCAAGGGUAUGCACCACCUUUAUGUAGCUGUUUCUUAUCAUCUCCUUUUUAUUGAGCACUUUUCUUUGCCUAAUUACAGCUAUCAAACUUCUGUCUUAAUGGGCACUCUACAUACAAUAUGCCUUGGUAGGAGAAAGCUUGUAGUCCAAAAUAAUAAUUCUACUCCCUCCGUCCAACAAAAGAUGUCUCAAGUUUGUCAAAAUUUGGAUGUAUCUAGACAUGAUUUACUGUAUAGAUGCAUUCAAAUUUAGUCAAAGUUGAGACAUCCUUUGUUGGACGGAGGGAGUAGAAAGGAUUUUCUUUGAAAGGCAUUGAGAAACAUAAUCUCAACACGUUGGUGUGAUGUGAAGAGUAACUACUAGAAUGUAUAUCUUCUUUUAAUAUUUGAUUCUAUUAUUAAGUACCAUACUGUUUUUUUUUGUAAACUGUCACUAAAACUCAACUUUGCAGGAUGGAGAAUCUGGCUGGAGCAGUCUCCACAGAGCACUUCACUUUGGCCACUUGUGUAUUGCUGGUGUUCUUCUGCAGUUUGGUGCAUCCCUCAAUUUGGAAGACACCAAGGGUCGCACACCUAUUGAUCUUCUCUCUGGUCCUGUAUCACAGGCCAAUGGGGAUUCUCAGGAUUCAGGUAGCAAAGGAGCUCUCUUCUAUUCCUGGAAACAGUUAAUUUGUCUUUAGUUUAAUUCGGUGCUUCUGUACUGUUUUAUGAUGUCCUUUUGGCAAUUUCUUUAGGGUAUGCUUUACAAAAUCUUCAUAUCUUUUUCCAUUUUAGUUGCAACGGAAGUCUUCAGUUGGGGAAGUGGAACAAACUAUCAGCUGGGAACUGGCAAUGCCCACAUACAAAAACUACCAUGCAAGGUAGAAGCAUUGCAUGGGUCAUACAUCAAAACUGUUGCUGCAUCAAAGUUCCAUAGUGUAGCAGUUAGUUCUGAUGGUGAAUUGUACACAUGGGGAUUUGGUCGAGGUGGUCGUCUUGGUCAUCCGGAUAUUCAGAGGUGAGCAAUCACACAUUAUUCUGGAUGAACUUUUUCUUAGGAAGGAUGAAAAUGGUUAUCCCCACAUGACUUUGAUGGUAACUUGUCUUGUAUGUAUAGAUUUAAAGCUACUAAAGAAGCCAAAAUUGCACACAUUUAUUUCAACAGUAGUUGACCACGGAGUUCUCAGACUUCUCCUGUGUUAAAAUUCCCACCCCCCUGCUGUUGGUGAAGUUUAUUUUGUGUUGCUACAACUACCAUUUUGUUGCAGUGGCCAGACGACGGCUGUGAUUACCCCUCGCCAAGUGACAGUAGGACUAGGCCGUAAACAAGUGAAUGUUGUGGCUGCAGCCAAACAUCAUACGGUGAUUGCUACAGAGGCUGGGGAAUUGUUUACCUGGGGAUCAAACAGAGGUAUGUGUGAAUAUGUGAUGCAUCUUGAAUGCGUUCCAGCAUCAAGGACUUUUUGUUUGAAUUAGAGCAACAAGAUUUGGGCACACAUGUGAUAUAGUCCUUGCUACUAUUAUAUUGCCCUUAUGGUCUAUAACAAAAUGCUCUGAAUGAUGCAGAGGGUCAGCUUGGUUACCCUUCUGUUGACACCCAAGCAACACCAAGGCGUGUUAGUUCGCUUAAACAAAGGAUAAUUUCUGUAGCUGCUGCAAACAAGCACUCAGCUGCGGUCGCUGACACUGGUGAAGUGUUCACCUGGGGUUGCAAUAAGGAGGGCCAGCUAGGCUAUGGCACUUCAAACUCAGCAUCCAAUUGCAUUCCAAGAAUGGUAGAGUAUUUGAAAGGAAAAGUAUUGAAAGGUGUAUCUGCAGCAAAAUAUCAUACACUAGUGUUAGGGGCUGAUAGUGAAGUAAGUUGAUACUGGUUGGAACUGUAUAUUUGUUACACAUUAUUCUGACACCAAGAAAGUUUAACAGACCUGGUCAUCUCAUCCUCUUUGGCAGGUGUUCACUUGGGGGCAUCGCCUUGUGACCCCUCGCCGUGUUGUAAUAGCUAGAUGUCUUAAAAAGGGUGGAAAUACAAGCGUGAAGUUCCAUCGUAUGCAGCGACUUCAUGUGAUCUCAGUGGCUGCUGGAGUGAUGCACAGUACUGCUCUAACAGCUGAUGGUGCUAUUUUCAGCUGGGUUUCGUCAGAUCCUGAUUUAAGAUGCCAACAGGUUUGGUUGUUAAUUGUUGUGGUACUAUCUAUACAGUGAAGCUGUGUGUUUCAUGUUUACAUUUAAACUAUUUCUGCACAGGUAUUCUCAAUGUGUGGGAGGAAUGUUGUAAGCAUCUCGGCGGGAAAGUACUGGACUGCACUAGCUACGUCAACUGGUGAUGUGUUUAUGUUGGACGCAAAGAAACCACGCAAGGAUGAGACUCGAAUGUUUACUCGAGUGAAUGGUGUUAAGCGAGCAUCGUCAGUUUGUGUUGGUGAAACCCAUAUGCUUGUUCUUUCUAGUAUUUAUCAUCCCGAGUAUCCUCCCAAAACUAAAACUCAAGGCAAAAAGCCAUCGUUAGAAUGGAGCAGUGCGAUGGAAGAGCUCGAUGAAGACAUUCUUUUUAAUGAUGUCCAGCCUGAAACUGACCUAUCUGGAAGCAGCAGUGAAAUGAGUAGAGGCAUACCCAGUCUGAAAAGCCUAUGUGAGAAAGUUGCAAUUCAGCAUAUAUUGGAACCAAAGAAUGCUAUACAACUUCUUGAAGUUGCCGAUUCCUUGGAAGCCAAGGAGCUCAAGAAGCACUGUGAGGUAAUGCAUUGGUGUGCUGCAGUUAACAUGUACUACAUUUUUGCCACAUACUGAUAUGUAUUCUGGCCAGUCAUCCUUUGUCCAUGCCUAAUUAAUUUUCAUUUAGUGACUUCUGGUACUCUGUUAUUCAAUGUGAUGCAGGAUACAGCUGUUCGCAACCUUGAUUACAUUUUCACUGUGGCAGCCCCUUCAAUUAUGAAUGCUUCUCCUGAAAUUCUUGCAAACUUAGAGAGAUUACUGGACGAAAAAUCCUCAGAGCCCUGGAGUCACCGCCGUCUUCCUACAAUGACGGCUACUUAUCCUGCUGUCGUUGAUAGUGAUGGAGAGGGAGAUGACGCAGGAGGGUUCUCUAGGCUCAGGGACAGUCAGAAGCCUGCAUCAAAAUCAUAUGGAACGUCAAGUUAUGGUACCUUCUUUCAGAAAGAAAGCAAUGCUGAACAAGCUGUCUCUAAGCAGAUUAGGGCACUUCGCAAGAAACUGCAGCAGAUUGAAAUGCUUGAGGCUAAACAACUGGAUGGUCAUCAGCUUGAUGAUCAACAGCUGGCAAAGCUUGAGUCUAGGGUCGCCCUUGAAAGUGAACUUGCAGAGCUUGGCUUUCCAUCAGACGCAUUUUCAAUACCUUUGCUUAAUCUUCCAGAAGGAAGGGCAAACAAAAAACCUGAGGGAUCUAAGAAACAGAGGAAGAACAGCAAGCAGGCAGCACAAUCUGAUAUCCCCCCUAUAAAACAUGAGGCCAAGGAGCAAAACCAUAUUAAGGAGCUUCCAGAUGUCUUACCAAUCCGUGGUUCUUCAGAAAAGGUUUGCUUGCUCCUAUCUCAUGAUUUCUAUGUCUUCAUCCGUAGGUUCUUUCAGAAUCAAAUAUUGUGUUAGGCAUUAUGUUAGUGGGUUUGGUUGAUCAAGAUGUUGUAUCUUUGCUUCUCUUGAUACCAACCUUAUGUUCUGUUGCCCUAUUAAGAUCUAGUGUAGUAGUAUAAGUAUUUGAUCCCGUUGUGUGUUGUUUCCAUGGCAGUCUAAGUAUUUGAUCCCGCUGAGUGGCCAUGCCAACGUUUGCCUGUUGUGUGUUGUUUCCAUGGCAGUCUAAGUAUUUGAUCCCGCAGAGUAUCUUGUUUCUUUAUAUAAUUUGAAGUAGGACCCUGUUUUUGUUGGUAUUUCGUUAUAGUUCUUAGCUUUAGUCAUGCUUAACAUGAUGUACAUCCAUCCGUGAUGUGACAAGUUACUCUUUUUAAAUUGUAGAUAUGUGCUUUUCUUUGCUUAUCCAUCAUUUGUCUAGUAUAUUAAAGAAAGCAAUAUUACUGAUAAAAUACUAUGCUCAUGCAGGAAGCAAGCGCUACUGGGCCAAUGAAAACAUCGGAGGAUGUCACUUUAAAUAGCACAAAAACCAUCUCUUGUACAUCAGGGAACAAAGCUUCCCGGCCAACUUCAUCAAAGAAGAAGAAUAAGAAAGGUGGCUUGUCAUUGUUUCUGAGUGGUGCUCUUGAUGACACCCCAAAACCAAGCCCGCCUAUCCCUGUUGUGCCUGUCAUACCAAAACAGGAAGGUCCUGCCUGGGGUGGUGCUAAGAUAACAAAAGGACCUGCUUCCCUUCGUGAUAUUCAAAGCGAGCAGAAGUCAAAAACAAACGAGCUGAUCACAACCAAGGGAAAAGACCGCCAUGGGGAUUCACCUGACAGUGCUGGGCGUAUGCGGCUUUCCUCAUUCAUGCCAGAUACGUGUUCAAGUCCUAUAUCUGUUACGUCUGCUCGUGCUGUUCCUGCUCAUGAUGGGGAUAAGAGCACACCACCUUGGUCUUCUUCAGCUACCUCCCCCAAUGUAUCACGGCCUUCACUCAGGGACAUACAGACGCAGCAGGUUGAUCUCUUGCUACCUAGCACUGAAACGAUAUUUUUAUUGUAUAUAGAGAUGCAAAAUUUGCAAUGUCGCUAUUAUUUUCUAUCACUUAUCUGAUCCCGAACCAAUAAUCUUUUGAGCAGGAGAAACGGCACCAUGGCAUCAUUUCCCAGAGUCCAAAAACCCGGACAUCAGGCUUCGCCAUACCAUCCCAGAGUGCAGCACCAGAGGUCUCUUGCGUGAAGGACAACAACGUUCCCAGCCGCUGGUUCAAACCAGAGAUCGAUGCUCCGUCCUCCAUCCGCUCGAUCCAGAUUGAGGAGCAAGCGAUGAAGGACUUCAAGCGCUUCUACACCAGCGUGAGGAUCAUGAAACCGCAGGUCUAGCGAUGAACCGCUGCCGCCUCAAACUCCGAAGAGCUACUGAUCUUGUUUAGGCUCACCCUACCCAAUGUACAUUCAAGUGUACAGUCAGUUCCUGUUAACUGUAGGCCCCUUCCAUCGAAUAAACUCUGAAAGCCUGUGCUGUUGUUUAUCGCAGAAAUGGACUCAUCUAGCUAUGAGACCACCCUGCUUUGUGUAACUUCUACUAAUGGUCAUAAACUGGUGCUGAUGUGCAAUCAGGCUGCCAGUUGGCACUUGCCGUUUCAUUUAUUUGAAGCCUUUUUACCUGGGUUACCAUGCUCCUCUGAUUGGUUAGUUGGUGCAAAAAUCUUUAGAUCUUUAUAUAAUAUCUUCAUUCGUAUGUAUAAUUAGCACCUGAUUUUACAAAAAUUAGGAUCAAAUAAAAUCUUGAAGAAGUGUAUUUGUUGGAGUAAAAUAAAAAUAACAAAGUGAACUUCUGAAAUUCCAGUUGGUGGUACGUGUCUCCUUCCAAUCGAUGAUCGUGUCACCUCACCUAUAAAAGUUGAGACUUGCCAGCAAUUUUUCUUAAUUUUGUUAUAAUCUCUACAGCCUUGUCAUUCCUCACAAUAACAAGGUCAACAUUUGCUGCCACGAUCUACUACGGUUCAUUAUCCUAACCUUGAUCAAACACUGCAUAUUAGUAGGUGUGGACAUAUUAACCGAGAACCGAAAGAACUACUAGUACCGAAUACAAUUGGAUUGUCUGAAUUUGGAUCGAGUAAUUCGGUCCUAGUCAGAAGCACUCCAUCCCGUCCGUCCCGCCUUCUCCCCUGAUUAGCUCCCUUUAUUAUUAUUUUUGAAAAUCUAUGUUGUCAGUCUACAUCGGUUCUGUUCGGCUAAAAAUGCAAGUCCACCAAAAAUUUUGGUCAAUAAAUUUUCAGAGAACCAAUCGGUCAUCAUUUUGCCAAUAAUCAAUUUCCCAUUAAGGGUCUGUCUAUUUACCAGACGCUUGGUUUUUGAUCCAAAACAGUUGCCUGUUUUCUGUGCUGAAACUAGGCGCCUGAAAUUUUGAGAAAAACCAGUCACUUUUGCACCCAAAGUUUCUGUCCUGGGCCUGUUCUUUUUGUUCCAAAACUUUGUGUGCUUCGACUACUGGUCCUUUUUUGAGAGAGAGAGAAGGCUGGCUCAUUUAUUCAAAUAGAGAAGCAUUCACUGUUUACAACAUCCUGGAUGCAACCAGGGACGCAGUGCCAAAAGACAGAAUAAGCAGCGAAGUCACUCGAGUCAGCCAACAUAUGAGCCACCUCAUUAGCACAACGGCUUACAUGAACAAAAGAAACAGAAAAUACACAUAGCACUAGAAAUUUAAUGUCAGCAACAAUAGGACCAAUGGAAGAACAAUCUCUACCCGGAGCAUUUACCUUCCAAACUAGGAACAGAUAAUCUGCACCAGAAUAUUGUGGAAAUUCUCUUCUCGAGCUAGAACCGUAGCACAUCGAAGAGCCUGUGCUUCAGCUAAUUCUGCUGAGGUAGAAUCUUGAAAAGACUGACGGCAUGGCAUGAGUCUGUGUCCCAGAUGUUCUCGUACCAUUACACCAAUGUCCGAACUCGAGUUGGCGGAGAAGACUACAACAUCAACAUUAAAGAAAACCUUACCAGCCAGCUGUGGAGUCCACAUCUGAACAACUCUUGGAACUGCACACCUUGGUGACUGACAAGGCUUCAAAACAUGCUCUUGAAUCAUCUCCUCAUAAGACUGAUUUUUUCACACUGUAGCUGUACGGCAAGUUAGAGAAAUAGAAUUCUUGUCCUCCUUACGAGCCUCCCAAAUAUGCCAACAUGUAACAGCCACAAGAACAGAUUGAAAAGGGUAGCGAUCAUAAAAAUCUUAAAGAAAACAAUCCCAUAUAGCAGAUCGAUAGCAGAAUUCAAAUUUUGUACAAGUACAAUUGGAACAAGGACAUUAGUACAUGCAAUUGCAAAAUUAAGCAUAGUGCAAUUGAAACAGAAACCUUAUGCAAUUGCAAUAAUGAUAUUUUCCAUCCACAAUAAAACAGCUAGAUCAAAGUUUCAUAUCUUAUUUUCAUAAGUUUCAGAUUCUAAAGAAUAAAAUUUGAAUAUCAGAACACAUAAACUUUGUGACAUUCAACUUUCUAACUCUACUUAAGGACCUACCGACAAAACAAAAGUAGAGAAAAAUAACUUAAGCUAAAUCAUUUGCAAUUCCACUCUGCAAAACUUCUAAUUACUGAAGUAUGAACAAUGCAGCUGAAAUUUAAAUGCAGUGCAAUUCCAUCCACAUUGCUUUUGCCUUUCACUUAUGAAUACAAAAGGUGAGAUUCGCAGAAAACAUCUUUUUUCUGAAAAGAAGGGAAGGCCCUGGGCCUCUGUCUGCAGAAAACAUCUGAUAAUGAGAAAAAUGAUAAGAAAGGUGCAAGGGAUCAGAUUUUGCUUUCAACAAGAUUGUUAAUUACAACAGUAGAUGUAAUGCAAUAUAUUUUAGAAAGGGGUGCAAUUUAAUUUAAGUGGCAGUGCAAUUGCAAUUUGACGAAUGAACAAUUGCAGUUCAAUAGAAGACAUCAACUUAAUUUGGAAAAAAACAUAGCAACUUGAACAGAGAACGUAAUGAAUAAAGGGACAAACGUUGAUGUUCUCUUGGUUAUUGAGGCCAUCUAAAUCGACAACUUGCAGCGGGCCUUCAGAUUGGCCAUGAGAUCCUUUUCCCUGCAAAAGCAAAACAAAAUGCUCAAUAGGAUGAAUUCAUAUGCAACUUAUGACAUAAAAGAAGAUGGAAAAAAGAGAGUAUUCCUAGAGGUAGAGAAAUUUAUUUAAAUAUGGAUGCAAUUUAAUUUAGAAGUUGGUGCAAUUUAAUUUAAGUGCAGUGCAAUUGCAAUUUGGUGACUAAACAAUUGCAGUGCAAUCCCAAUAAAAAUCGCUGCAAUUGCACUUGUAUGGACUGCAAUUUGCGUAAGCUACAUCCUACAGGUGCAAUAAAAAUAUAAAUUGGAUGCAAUCCCAAUUAAAUUAGCAAAAACUGCAAUUUGCUUAAGCUACGGGUAAAUCACUGGACAAACUUGUUUUGUGCAAAUCGAACAAUUACAGGGUUUAAUAACGAAAAUGAUGGCCAAAAGGUUUAGCAAAAUGUUGGGCAAAAAGUGCUAAAUGUGGGGAGUUGCAGCUUGACAGAAGUAUCAACAUGAUUGCAUUGGUUAUAUGGUGCAAGUGCCAUUAAUAUAUCUAGCAAGUGCAAUAUACUCCUACAAAAAAGCUUUGUAAAUGCAAGUUGAUGAGUGAAAGAAAAAUCUGAGACCAUAUAAGAUCUAUAUACAAACAGUUAAGAUUGUGAGCCUUUAGAAAUGUUUAUAGGUUUGAAACUUUACUUCUACAAAAUGCAGGGAUUAUCCACGGUAUGGUUUAUUGAAGUACUCACUUCCACAUAUAAUCAAUUUAAUGCUCGGCAGGGAUAUGAGGAAAAAUGAGAUGAACAACCCAGUGUACACAAAUUUACCGAGGCAUACGAUGAAACAAUAGAGAGAAAUAACCACUGAAAUGAUUUUGAAACAUAACAACCAGCAGCCAUGUGUUUCCUUUUAGACAGAAAGCAAGAUUUCAACUAUUAAGAAACAAGAAAUUAAUAAGAAAAAAAGAGAAAAAAAUCAUAAUUAAGAAUUUUUCAGAUACAUGUAUCAAUGUAAAUACCAGAUCGCUAAUAUUGUCAAUGAUCAAGUCGGUCUCUGAAUAAUCUUCGGAUGAAUAACCAUCCUGCACUCAACAAAGUGAGAGAUGGACAAAAGGUAUACAAUAAACUUAUUUCAUACACUCACAAAAUCACAGGCCGCGGGUCCGCCCGCAUUAGCAGCAGCCUGUUCACCCUCAUCCCCAAAAGGACAGUAAUCAGAGUCUGAAUGCACACUACAAUCAUUCCGGUCAGAUCGAACAUCGCUGCCCCCUAUAAACUCCUGAGCAUUGAAUACACAACCUUGAGAAAAAGAUCAAUGAUAAAGACUUAGAAACAACAAGCAGGCACGAAACCAAAACGUUAAUCGCAAAAUCCCUGAAAAAAAUGGAUACACACCUCAUGACCGAAAUAGCUACAUGCAACUUCAAUAGAAAACAUGAAUCCUAUGCCAAAAUGAUAGUGAUCUAACUGUGAUUUAAACUAGCAAACCACCAUAUAAGCAGAAAAUAAAAAAUAAAAGGAGUUGACUAGCAAACCAGACUAUUACCACAUAGAUGCAGAGCACAUUGACUUCAGAAAUGCAAAUAAAAAAUCAAAAUCAAGUGGGGGGACACCCACUUACAGUUUAGUCAAAAACGAUUAAAUGAAAAUGGUUGAUUCACCUAGAUUAGAUAAAAUCAAAUGCACAUAAACAAGCAAAAAUGAAUCGAGUACAGUACAGUUAGACUUAGUACUUAGUCCUCGCUGUACAUAAUUUCAGGGGUAAUUUCAUUAUCUAAACACAUUACACAUGCAGAAACGAGGCCAAACAUAUGGAACAACAUCCCCAGGUUCUAAUAGCAGAGCUCAAAAUCGGCCAAAACAACCCAAAACUAAACCAGAUGAAACAACAUACGCAUCGAAGCCUCGAGUGCUCGGCUGCGGGGGAGCAGGAGGGGCAGAGAAGCCUCGAGUGCUCGGCGGCAGGGUAGCAGCAAGGGCGUCGACGGCGGAGGCCGGAGAGGCGUACAGGAGGAGCAGGAGGGG